Long non-coding RNA from Populus euphratica (Euphrates poplar), 364 nucleotides. RefSeq lists it as uncharacterized. The transcript is spliced from 2 exons. Lineage: Eukaryota; Viridiplantae; Streptophyta; Magnoliopsida; Malpighiales; Salicaceae. The record is from RefSeq and is a predicted model, not a curated record.
UUCAUAGCCAUAUCCAGCCCACCAAUCACCUAAAGAUGCACAUGGCGAUAAAAAUGAGAUUCCAAUCCGCUGACAUAUAAAAUAUCUCAAAACACAUGAAAUAUACGGGAACAACUCGGGAUAAGGGAGCCGCAUUUACAGGCCCCCAAAGGACACGUCAGGGAUCUCCAAAAUUGAUUCAGCCUAUUCUGACAGACUGUUCUAACGGAUAAACGAUAUCACUUAAUGAUUCUAUUCUGACCAACAGUAACCUCGUACAAGUACUAUAUCCUGUUGGCUGUUGCUUUGGUUUUCCGAUCCCAAGGAGCAAAUGUAAGAGGAUAUUUCGUUUUACCAAGAACUUUUACGCCCCAUGAGAAGAAUU